RNAcentral lists this ribosomal RNA (253 nucleotides) under uncultured bacterium. Its description in RNAcentral is "partial 16S ribosomal RNA". It matches the Rfam family "Bacterial small subunit ribosomal RNA", at positions 524 to 776 of the family's 1533-position model. The record is from RNAcentral.
UACAGAGGGGGCAAGCGUUGUUCGGAAUUACUGGGCGUAAAGGGCGCGUAGGCGGCCUGCUAAGUCGAACGUGAAAUCCCUGGGCUCAACCCAGGAACUGCGUCCGAUACUGGUUGGCUUGAAUCCGGGAGAGGGAUGCGGAAUUCCAGGUGUAGCGGUGAAAUGCGUAGAUAUCUGGAGGAACACCGGUGGCGAAGGCGGCAUCCUGGACCGGUAUUGACGCUGAGACGCGAAAGCGUGGGGAGCAAACAGG